CGCAGCAACGCCGCGGCGUCGGGGGCGGGGCCGCUCCCUGCCCUGUUCUGGCCCGCCCACUAGGCGCUGCUGAGCCAAUCGAGUGCCUGAGCGUUGGUCAAAGCAGCCAAUGGGAGAGGCGGGGGCGAUUUAAGAGCUGGCAGCGGGAGGGCGGUGCCUUAGGGCUCGUGCCGUUGCUGGAGGUGAGGCGGGACCGUGGCGGGACCGUGGCGGGACCGUGGCGGGACCGUGGCGGAGAGAGUGGUCUCACCAGCCUGAAGAUGACAACUCUCAUCUUCUUAGAUAAGGAGAAUGGUGAAGUUGGUGCUGCUAAGAAUCAAUUAAGACACCCUUCAGGAUCAUCAAAAGUCUUAUCUGAAAGAACUCAAGUCACUACACCGCUUCCUAAAAAAGCAAUUAAAGCAUCUCCAGCCACAUCACACUCUGUCAGAAAGGCUCUUGGAGACGUGAAUAGGACUGUAGGAGUCACAAACAAGAAAGAAGCAGAUGAGACAGGAAAAUCAGCCUUGCACUGCAAAGAAAGUUACUGAAAAGGCUGCUGGAUUAGAGAGCCAGGAUGUGAUACUUGAAGAACCCUUCCUUGAAAUAGAAAACAUGUUUUGCUAUGAUCCUGGAGACUUUGAGAAUUUUGAUCUUCCUGAAGAGGACAGAGUAAGCGAUAUCGACCUGUGUGGUGCUCCUCUCAAGAUAUUUACAAGCACUGCUGAAAAACCACUGAACAUGUGUCUUUCACCUGUGAAGACUGAAGAGCUGUCAUGGGAGUCUAGUAAGUGGAAAACUAGUACGAGUUUCAGUGCAUACAGUGCUCAUUAGUGGUCUGGGAGGAAAGGCUGCAAGAGUGAACUGUCAUUGCUGUCAUAAGCACCAGAAUAGCACACUUAUAUCAAGCAACUCUUGGUAUACAGCCAAGCUGAAUGUAACUGGUCAACUCCACUAACAGUGGUCUCAAAGCCAUAUUGCUGUGUAGCUUUCUGCAGUGUAUUGCUAAAUGACUAGUUAGGAUGAAUUGUCCAACAGUAUUUCCCAUAGUCAUUCAAGUGGUUUAUGCGAACUCACUAGGAGCUAGCUUAUAUGAGACUAAAAUUCUGGGCUUCGUGAGAAACUGAUUUGCUGUAUUUCUAACUUUCAGACUUUCUACAAUCAACUGCUGACUUCAUUUCUACACUGGAUGAGAUCAUUGAUAUGCAUCUAUGAAACUAUGAGCUUCAAAAGCAUAUUCCAAAGUUUCUGUUGAGUGCUAUACUUUAAUUAAACUUUUAAUAAAGGUUGGUUUAAUGUGUGUAAUAUGGGACUUCUCUAUUUUCUGUAGAGCUAAUAUACCAAGGGCAUAAGAUGCAGGUAGUAAAAUACUGCUUUGAAAACAAGGCUAUUUGACAAGAU
RNAcentral lists this long non-coding RNA (1380 nucleotides) under Anas platyrhynchos (mallard). RNAcentral describes it as "lncRNA (ENSAPLG00020015593.1)". Lineage: Eukaryota; Metazoa; Chordata; Aves; Anseriformes; Anatidae. The record is from RNAcentral.